This 765-nucleotide ribosomal RNA is filed under the name Cellulophaga sp. MAR_2009_203. RNAcentral describes it as "bacterial SSU rRNA". It matches the Rfam family "Bacterial small subunit ribosomal RNA", at positions 20 to 782 of the family's 1533-position model. The record is from RNAcentral. Lineage: Bacteria; Pseudomonadati; Bacteroidota; Flavobacteriia; Flavobacteriales; Flavobacteriaceae.
UGGCUCAGGAUGAACGCUAGCGGCAGGCUUAACACAUGCAAGUCGAGGGGUAACAGAGGAGCUUGCUCUUGCUGACGACCGGCGCACGGGUGCGUAACGCGUAUACAAUCUGCCUUACACUAAGGGAUAGCCCAGAGAAAUUUGGAUUAACACCUUAUAGUUUAUUUUUAUGGCAUCAUUUAAAUAAUAAAGUUUACGGUGUAAGAUGAGUAUGCGUCCCAUUAGUUUGUUGGUAAGGUAACGGCUUACCAAGACUACGAUGGGUAGGGGCCCUGAGAGGGGGAUCCCCCACACUGGUACUGAGACACGGACCAGACUCCUACGGGAGGCAGCAGUGAGGAAUAUUGGACAAUGGAGGAGACUCUGAUCCAGCCAUGCCGCGUGCAGGAAGACGGUCCUAUGRAUUGUAAACUGCUUUUAUACAGGAAGAAUAAGGACUACGUGUAGUCUGGUGACGGUACUGUAAGAAUAAGGACCGGCUAACUCCGUGCCAGCAGCCGCGGUAAUACGGAGGGUCCGAGCGUUAUCCGGAAUUAUUGGGUUUAAAGGGUCCGUAGGCGGGCUGUUAAGUCAGGGGUGAAAGUUUGCAGCUCAACUGUAGAAUUGCCUUUGAUACUGAUGGUCUUGAAUUAUUGUGAAGUGGUUAGAAUAUGUAGUGUAGCGGUGAAAUGCAUAGAUAUUACAUAGAAUACCGAUUGCGAAGGCAGAUCACUAACAAUUGAUUGACGCUGAUGGACGAAAGCGUGGGUAGCGAACAGGWUUAGA